RNAcentral lists this ribosomal RNA (2901 nucleotides) under Escherichia coli JCM 20135. RNAcentral's name for it is "bacterial LSU rRNA". It matches the Rfam family "Bacterial large subunit ribosomal RNA". The record is from RNAcentral. Lineage: Bacteria; Pseudomonadati; Pseudomonadota; Gammaproteobacteria; Enterobacterales; Enterobacteriaceae.
UUAAGCGACUAAGCGUACACGGUGGAUGCCCUGGCAGUCAGAGGCGAUGAAGGACGUGCUAAUCUGCGAUAAGCGUCGGUGAGGUGAUAUGAACCGUUAUAACCGGCGAUUUCCGAAUGGGGAAACCCAGUGUGUUUCGACACACUAUCAUUAACUGAAUCCAUAGGUUAAUGAGGCGAACCGGGGGAACUGAAACAUCUAAGUACCCCGAGGAAAAGAAAUCAACCGAGAUUCCCCCAGUAGCGGCGAGCGAACGGGGAGGAGCCCAGAGCCUGAAUCAGUGUGUGUGUUAGUGGAAGCGUCUGGAAAGGCGCGCGAUACAGGGUGACAGCCCCGUACACAAAAAUGCACAUAUUGUGAGCUCGAUGAGUAGGGCGGGACACGUGGUAUCCUGUCUGAAUAUGGGGGGACCAUCCUCCAAGGCUAAAUACUCCUGACUGACCGAUAGUGAACCAGUACCGUGAGGGAAAGGCGAAAAGAACCCCGGCGAGGGGAGUGAAAAAGAACCUGAAACCGUGUACGUACAAGCAGUGGGAGCCUCUUUAUGGGGUGACUGCGUACCUUUUGUAUAAUGGGUCAGCGACUUAUAUUCUGUAGCAAGGUUAACCGAAUAGGGGAGCCGAAGGGAAACCGAGUCUUAACUGGGCGUUAAGUUGCAGGGUAUAGACCCGAAACCCGGUGAUCUAGCCAUGGGCAGGUUGAAGGUUGGGUAACACUAACUGGAGGACCGAACCGACUAAUGUUGAAAAAUUAGCGGAUGACUUGUGGCUGGGGGUGAAAGGCCAAUCAAACCGGGAGAUAGCUGGUUCUCCCCGAAAGCUAUUUAGGUAGCGCCUCGUGAAUUCAUCUCCGGGGGUAGAGCACUGUUUCGGCAAGGGGGUCAUCCCGACUUACCAACCCGAUGCAAACUGCGAAUACCGGAGAAUGUUAUCACGGGAGACACACGGCGGGUGCUAACGUCCGUCGUGAAGAGGGAAACAACCCAGACCGCCAGCUAAGGUCCCAAAGUCAUGGUUAAGUGGGAAACGAUGUGGGAAGGCCCAGACAGCAGGAUGUUGGCUUAGAAGCAGCCAUCAUUUAAAGAAAGCGUAAUAGCUCACUGGUCGAGUCGGCCUGCGCGGAAGAUGUAACGGGGCUAAACCAUGCACCGAAGCUGCGGCAGCGACACUAUGUGUUGUUGGGUAGGGGAGCGUUCUGUAAGCCUGUGAAGGUGGCCUGUGAGGGUUGCUGGAGGUAUCAGAAGUGCGAAUGCUGACAUAAGUAACGAUAAAGCGGGUGAAAAGCCCGCUCGCCGGAAGACCAAGGGUUCCUGUCCAACGUUAAUCGGGGCAGGGUGAGUCGACCCCUAAGGCGAGGCCGAAAGGCGUAGUCGAUGGGAAACAGGUUAAUAUUCCUGUACUUGGUGUUACUGCGAAGGGGGGACGGAGAAGGCUAUGUUGGCCGGGCGACGGUUGUCCCGGUUUAAGCGUGUAGGCUGGUUUUCCAGGCAAAUCCGGAAAACCAAGGCUGAGGCGUGAUGACGAGGCACUACGGUGCUGAAGCGACAAAUGCCCUGCUUCCAGGAAAAGCCUCUAAGCAUCAGGUAACAUCAAAUCGUACCCCAAACCGACACAGGUGGUCAGGUAGAGAAUACCAAGGCGCUUGAGAGAACUCGGGUGAAGGAACUAGGCAAAAUGGUGCCGUAACUUCGGGAGAAGGCACGCUGAUAUGUAGGUGAAGCGACUUGCUCGUGGAGCUGAAAUCAGUCGAAGAUACCAGCUGGCUGCAACUGUUUAUUAAAAACACAGCACUGUGCAAACACGAAAGUGGACGUAUACGGUGUGACGCCUGCCCGGUGCCGGAAGGUUAAUUGAUGGGGUUAGCGGUAACGCGAAGCUCUUGAUCGAAGCCCCGGUAAACGGCGGCCGUAACUAUAACGGUCCUAAGGUAGCGAAAUUCCUUGUCGGGUAAGUUCCGACCUGCACGAAUGGCGUAAUGAUGGCCAGGCUGUCUCCACCCGAGACUCAGUGAAAUUGAACUCGCUGUGAAGAUGCAGUGUACCCGCGGCAAGACGGAAAGACCCCGUGAACCUUUACUAUAGCUUGACACUGAACAUUGAGCCUUGAUGUGUAGGAUAGGUGGGAGGCUUUGAAGUGUGGACGCCAGUCUGCAUGGAGCCGACCUUGAAAUACCACCCUUUAAUGUUUGAUGUUCUAACGUUGGCCCGUAAUCCGGGUUGCGGACAGUGUCUGGUGGGUAGUUUGACUGGGGCGGUCUCCUCCUAAAGAGUAACGGAGGAGCACGAAGGUUGGCUAAUCCUGGUCGGACAUCAGGAGGUUAGUGCAAUGGCAUAAGCCAGCUUGACUGCGAGCGUGACGGCGCGAGCAGGUGCGAAAGCAGGUCAUAGUGAUCCGGUGGUUCUGAAUGGAAGGGCCAUCGCUCAACGGAUAAAAGGUACUCCGGGGAUAACAGGCUGAUACCGCCCAAGAGUUCAUAUCGACGGCGGUGUUUGGCACCUCGAUGUCGGCUCAUCACAUCCUGGGGCUGAAGUAGGUCCCAAGGGUAUGGCUGUUCGCCAUUUAAAGUGGUACGCGAGCUGGGUUUAGAACGUCGUGAGACAGUUCGGUCCCUAUCUGCCGUGGGCGCUGGAGAACUGAGGGGGGCUGCUCCUAGUACGAGAGGACCGGAGUGGACGCAUCACUGGUGUUCGGGUUGUCAUGCCAAUGGCACUGCCCGGUAGCUAAAUGCGGAAGAGAUAAGUGCUGAAAGCAUCUAAGCACGAAACUUGCCCCGAGAUGAGUUCUCCCUGAGACUUAGAGUCUCCUGAAGGAACGUUGAAGACGACGACGUUGAUAGGCCGGGUGUGUAAGCGCAGCGAUGCGUUGAGCUAACCGGUACUAAUGAACCGUGAGGCUUAACCUU